CUCUAUAAAUGGUACACUCAGGUCUUCGCGUUGCAGUUCUAAAACAUGCAUCGUGUUGCGUUAUUUAUUGUUGCCACAGGCUUCAUUGUCUGUGUUCGGACGGCUCCGGAGCACCGACGGCCGACGGAGGAUACAGCUAAACCAGAGAACACGCUGUAUUCCGACAAAAGUGGCGAGAACGACGUCAGCGCUUCUGAAGUAAUUGAAAACUUCGAAUCCGAACUUAUAAAGACUGGUCCCGUUGUCAAGAAAAAUCCAAAGAAUGAUGUUGAAAAAGGGUUGGUGAGCGACUUGAUAAACUCGACUUUGGGCGGUUUGCAGUUCGAUGUCCAUUUGGGUUCAGCUAAUAGCACCGCGGACCGUCUGUGCAUUAAGAUAGGCGGCGUCAACUUGGCAGGAUGUAGGCACUCGUGAUAUUGACGAACGAAGAUUCCAGAAAAAAACGGUUAAUACAGAAAACUAGGAAGAACAGAAUUAAUUAAUUGACUUUUACAAAUUCUGAGAUAAAUGAGUUUUAGAAUU
Molecule: long non-coding RNA, 522 nt
Organism: Bombyx mori (domestic silkworm)
Lineage: Eukaryota; Metazoa; Arthropoda; Insecta; Lepidoptera; Bombycidae
Exons: 4
Source: RefSeq, a predicted model, not a curated record